UGCUUCCAAGUGACCUUUUGGUGACCCGUC
RNAcentral lists this non-coding RNA (30 nucleotides) under Mus musculus (house mouse). Lineage: Eukaryota; Metazoa; Chordata; Mammalia; Rodentia; Muridae. The record is from RNAcentral.